Molecule: small nucleolar RNA, 70 nt
Organism: Megalobrama amblycephala (Wuchang bream)
Lineage: Eukaryota; Metazoa; Chordata; Actinopteri; Cypriniformes; Xenocyprididae
Product: small nucleolar RNA SNORD27
Exons: 1
Source: RefSeq, a predicted model, not a curated record
UUUAAAUGAUGAUUACAAAGACAAGCAUAUGUCUGAAUUGCAUUGAUGUUUGCCUUUUUAUUCUGAUAUA